Molecule: ribosomal RNA, 146 nt
Filed under: uncultured bacterium
Lineage: Bacteria
Description: partial 16S ribosomal RNA
Rfam family: Bacterial small subunit ribosomal RNA
Source: RNAcentral
CUGGGACGCAGCCUGAUCCAGCCAUGCCGCGUGAGUGAUGAAGGCCCUAGGGUUGUAAAGCUCUUUCACGGUGAAGAUAAUGACGGUAACCGGAGAAGAAGCCCCGGCUAACUUCGUGCCAGCAGCCGCGGUAAUGAUCCUGCCCC